AGAGGAAGUAAAAGUCGUAACAAGGUUUCCGUAGGUGAACCUGCGGAAGGAUCAUUAGCGAAAUGUUUGUCGAGAAGGGUUGUAGCUGGCUGCCUUCGGGGAGCAYGUGCACGCCCGGAUCGCGAAUUCUUCUUUCACACACCUGUGCACAUCCCCGUGGCUUUGUGGAUGCCGGACGGAUCUUUUGAUUUGGAUGGCGUCCCCCUGGCUGCGCGUUAUCACACACACGCUUUAUCAAGUAUCAGAAUGUAACAGCGCGUAAAAGCGCAAAAUAUAUACAACUUUCAGCAACGGAUCUCUUGGCUCUCGCAUCGAUGAAGAACGCAGCGAAAUGCGAUAAGUAAUGUGAAUUGCAGAAUUCAGUGAAUCAUCGAAUCUUUGAACGCACCUUGCGCUCCUUGGUAUUCCGAGGAGCAUGCCUGUUUGAGUGUCAUUGUAAUUCUCAACUGCCCUUUGGGUGAAGUUGGAUUUGGAGGAUAUCUUGCUGGCGGCUCUUUGAGCUUUGUCGGCUCCUCUUGAAUGCAUGAGCCCUCGACGCUGCGAGGCGGCUCCGAUGUGAUAAUUAUCUACGUCGGACCAUCGCAUUAGUGUUGGGCAUGAAUGGGAUUGGAACCUUUUGACAAUUUGACCUCAAAUCAGGUAGGACUACCCGCUGAACUUAAGCAUAUCA
RNAcentral lists this ribosomal RNA (670 nucleotides) under Phellodon sp. PDD 89880. RNAcentral describes it as "eukaryotic LSU rRNA". The stretch from base 280 to 433 matches the Rfam family "5.8S ribosomal RNA". Lineage: Eukaryota; Fungi; Basidiomycota; Agaricomycetes; Thelephorales; Thelephoraceae. The record is from RNAcentral.